GACAUUUUGACUCUGCUUCAAACAUCCCAAACGGAAGUAAAACGUCUGCAGGAGGAGCUGCAGCAGACCCAUGAGAAGUUCUCUGGACUUGAGGAAAGCUCCAACAAGCUGAGCGAGGAAC
Molecule: long non-coding RNA, 121 nt
Organism: Nematolebias whitei (Rio pearlfish)
Lineage: Eukaryota; Metazoa; Chordata; Actinopteri; Cyprinodontiformes; Rivulidae
Exons: 3
Source: RefSeq, a predicted model, not a curated record